RNAcentral lists this long non-coding RNA (336 nucleotides) under Elaeis guineensis (African oil palm). Its description in RNAcentral is "long non-coding RNA (EGUI_LNC060577)". Lineage: Eukaryota; Viridiplantae; Streptophyta; Magnoliopsida; Arecales; Arecaceae. The record is from RNAcentral.
CUGGAGGGGUCCGGAGGGAAUUUGUGCAUUGGAGGGGUCUGGUUGGCACUGCUGAAGUCUGAUUGGUGCUGUUGAAGGUUGAUGGCUGGAGAAGUACGAAAGACACCGGAGACAGUCAGUCAUUGUAGAAAUCUGGUUGUUGGAGCCUAUCCAUUGUAGAAGUUCGUCUGGAAUCCAUCCACUGUAGAAGUUCGGAUGGAGUCCAGUUCUUGCAGAAGUCUGGAUGGAGAUCGCUUAUUGUAGAAGCUCGGAUGGAGACCGGUUGCCGUGGAAGCCCGGAUGGAGACAGCUUAUUGUAGAAGCUCAGAUGGAGAUCGGUUGCUGUGGAAGCCCGGA